RNAcentral lists this unclassified non-coding RNA (221 nucleotides) under plant metagenome. RNAcentral describes it as "partial contains small subunit ribosomal RNA, internal transcribed spacer 1, and 5.8S ribosomal RNA". The record is from RNAcentral.
CGUAGGUGAACCUGCGGAAGGAUCAUUAGUGAAUUGAAUAUGUUAGCGGACCUCUUCGGAGUCCCUAGCAUCAAAUCAUAUCCAUAACACCUGCGAACUGUAAGGCUGUCUUGAAAACGAAAGUGAUUAGAGCGCCUGCCCAUUUUAUACAAACAUUAAAGUAACAAACGUAGUCUUAUUAUAAUCUAAUAAAACUUUCAACAACGGAUCUCUUGGCUCUC